RNAcentral lists this ribosomal RNA (271 nucleotides) under uncultured bacterium. RNAcentral describes it as "partial 16S ribosomal RNA". It matches the Rfam family "Bacterial small subunit ribosomal RNA", at positions 83 to 354 of the family's 1533-position model. The record is from RNAcentral.
CUACGUCGGCGACCGGCGCACGGGUGCGUAACGCGUAUGCAACCUACCCAUUACAGGGGGAUAACACUGAGAAAUCGGUACUAAUACCCCAUAGCAUCCAGGGAGGCAUCUUCUUGGGUUGAAAACUCCGGUGGUAAUGGAUAGGCAUGCGUUGUAUUAGUUAGUUGGUGGGGUAACGGCUCACCAAGACAACGAUACAUAGGGGGACUGAGAGGUUAACCCCCCCACAUUGGUACUGAGACACGGACCAAACUCCUACGGAAGGCAGCAG